Molecule: non-coding RNA, 46 nt
Organism: Nelumbo nucifera (sacred lotus)
Lineage: Eukaryota; Viridiplantae; Streptophyta; Magnoliopsida; Proteales; Nelumbonaceae
Source: Rfam
CACUAGGUGCCAUUAGGCACCACAUAAGCGGAAUAGUAAAUAAAUA